UAAUAAACUAAAACUUUCAACAACGGAUCUCUUGGUUCUGGCAUCGAUGAAGAACGCAGCGAAAUGCGAUAAGUAAUGUGAAUUGCAGAAUUCAGUGAAUCAUCGAAUCUUUGAACGCACAUUGCGCCCCUUGGUAUUCCGAGGGGCAUGCCUGUUCGAGCGUCAUU
This 167-nucleotide ribosomal RNA is filed under the name Neofusicoccum parvum. RNAcentral's name for it is "5.8S ribosomal RNA". It matches the Rfam family "5.8S ribosomal RNA". Rfam says of the family: 5.8S ribosomal RNA (5.8S rRNA) is a component of the large subunit of the eukaryotic ribosome. It is transcribed by RNA polymerase I as part of the 45S precursor that also contains 18S and 28S rRNA. Lineage: Eukaryota; Fungi; Ascomycota; Dothideomycetes; Botryosphaeriales; Botryosphaeriaceae. The record is from RNAcentral.